CUCAACGGGGGAGGGUCAUUCGAAACGGCGGAACUGGAGGCAGGGAGAGGUCGGUGGAAUUCCCGGUGUAGUGGUGAAAUGCGUAGAGAUCGGGAGGAACACCAGUGGCGAAGGCGGCCGACUGGACCUGGCCUGACGCUGAGGCGCGAAGGCGUGGGGAGCGAACGGGAUUAGAUACCCCGGUAGUCCACGCAGUAAACGAUGUGCACUAGGUGUGGGGGGUGUAGACCCCCUCCGUGCCGGCGCUAACGCAGUAAGUGCACCGCCUGGGGAGUACGGCCGCAAGGCUAAAACUCAAAGGAAUUGACGGGGGCCCGCACAAGCAGCGGAGCGUGUGGUUUAAUUCGACGCAACGCGCAAAACCUUACCAGGGCUUGACGUCCGCGGAAUCUUGGUGAAAGCCGAGAGUGCCUUCGGGAGCCG
This 423-nucleotide ribosomal RNA is filed under the name uncultured bacterium. RNAcentral describes it as "bacterial SSU rRNA". It matches the Rfam family "Bacterial small subunit ribosomal RNA", at positions 608 to 1029 of the family's 1533-position model. The record is from RNAcentral.